GCUUGAGGACCCUCCUUUCUGCUAAAACUGCUAACUUCUGCUGAACGUUCUGCUGCUUCAGAAGGGGAUUCCCAAAUCUCUAUAUAAGCACUGAGAAACAUCUCCUCCUCUGUAUACUCAGUUAUUUCAUCAUCUCUCACCCAAGCUUUUGUCUGUAAUUUGCAUCCGUGUUUAAUCAUGAAGCUAGGGAAUUUCACCUAUUCAAUGUUGCCAACAGCACCGACUGAAGACUAACAACAAAGCCUUCCUUCCACCAUGCAUGCAAGGUUUCAGCACGCUCAUCUCCCUGCAAGCUCUCCCCUCUUCAGCCUUCCAAAGAAGCAGACAGAGAAAGCAUUACUACAGUUCAAAGUGCUACUUUUUGUGGUGAGCAAGUCCAGCAAGGAAGGGAAAACAGAAGACAUCAUAUAAAAAUAUCACCUUUUUCCAGAGAGAGGAAUGGAGGAUUGGUCAAAAAUUACAUAAUACUUCAAUUCUACAAAAUUUAAAGGAAGAAAUCAUGCUUAAUAUUGACAAAGGAUUAUCCCAACAGAUUCCACUCUAUCUUCACAAGCACCACUAGCCACAUGACUAGCCCUAGUCAAAAAUUCUGCCAUCCUGGCUACAUCUAAUGUGAUCUUUAUCCCCAGAUAGACAAAUGUACACCAUGUUCUCUAUCCUGCUUUUCUUCAACACCAUUGCUCAUGCAAUUGUACAUAUGCACAAGGAAAGACUUCACCAGUGGCUGACCAAGUACUGAAAGCCUAUAUGUUCACCUGGCAAAGAAGACACAGCGCAGAGGUAAAGGAGGAACAGCAAACCUGAAAGCUCAUAUUGAAGGAGACUGGCUCUGGUUCAUAUGCAUCUAUACCAGCACAUCAUCAUCCCCUCAUCUCAGGCACUACAGCAAUUUUUAGAGAUACUUCCAGGUUUAAUCAGCCUGGGAGGUCACAGAGCAUUAACCAGCUUCCCAAACCCAACCACGUGCUUUCCCAUUUACGUCCCAACAGAAAUACAGCAGUCUGAGACCACGAACUCCUAAAAUAUGACAAAACUGUUGUUGUGGUACUUCAGAGUCCCACAGACAUUUUUCAGUUGUGUGAAAGUUUUAGGCUCAGUUUUGGUCACUGCUCACUUCUCUACUAAAUUGCAAAUUUGUGUGCCUGGCCAAGAAACAUCAUGUCAUUUCCCAACCAAGAACCCCUCAUGGAGCAAUUCCUCUCCCAGCUCUUCAAGGUACGCAUGUUGCAGCUGUAAGCCACGCUAACUUAUUCUACAUAGCUCUGAGGCUCUAAACUCCUAUCAGCUUUGCUCUGUUGAAGUGUCACUCUGCUAGAACUUUUAACUGCAAACCACCUCAUCUCCUCUAGCCCAAAGAGAACUUUGCCAAUUUCUCCUAUCAGCACACCCUGAAGAACAGAAAAAGCAGAUUCCAUUGCUCCAUGUUUUUGCUCUACAACAGCAGGUUUCUCACUGCUAGAAAAGAAUUCUGCAAGCCUAGAUCAUAUCCUCCCACUGUCUCUAAAGCUAACAGACAGCCUGCUUCAGAGUACACUGUGGGUACGACCACCUGGCUGCUGCUGCACAAGCCCAGAAACUCACAUUGAUCAAAGGCAGACAUCACAACAUACACCCAAUGUAACACUGUAUGAGGUUAAUACUGACAAUGCUGUCACACAGAAAGAACAGUACCACGUUAAUGACAAACACAGAGCUGUGUGAAAGCUAGGUUCAGGAGACAAGACACACUCAAGCUGGUGUCAUUACAACACUACACUCCUCAAUGCCUCCUACUUCCCAACACUAUGCUUGAGUCCAGAAUCAGCUCCCAAGACCCUCUAAGAAAACCAGUGUUCCAGCAGCAGGCGGAACCACAUCUUUAGAGUGCUCAGGCUCUGGGACCAUGCUGCAAUUUUACAAGAGGCCAGCUACAACUCCUCUCAGCAGUGAACAAGAGUCCCUGGGAGGGCUCGCCAGCUUGUGUCCAAUCAUGCCACGACUGUCCCUCUGUAUGUUGGAGUGGAAGAACUGCUCUCCCCUGUUUAAAGCCAAAUGACUACUUUGCUGAAUAGCACUUCAGAUCAGGAACAUAGGAAAUCUCUGCCCAAACCACCAAUAUCCUGUAGAUCAAGAUGACAAACCUGCCAAAAUUGGCACCAGAGAAAGGGCUGUGAGUCCAGAAUACAGCACUUUGGUGAUGUUCUUCAGUUUUCUGUAGGUGCAGGGCACCACCUCUAUGAACCUUUAUGUUUACAUCUCUUCCGAAAUGGUAACAAACAAACAAAUGGAACAACAAGGUGUGUGAAGAACAAGGGGACUAAAGAAGCUUUGUACUUAACAGGAGGAUUUCCUGGGUGAUUUAAUCUUUUUUUCCAGUAUUCUUCCGUAAAUCUCUCAUGCUUCUUGAAUUCCUAUAUUCCAAAAUUUCUUUUCAUUUGUGAAGUCUGACUAGAAUUCACAUUUGUGAAACCAUCUCCUUAACAGUAUUCAAGAAUAAGCAAAUACCAAACAAAAACACUUUCCCUAAGGGAUCAUCAGUAUUUAUCACAAAGUCAUUCAGCUGGCACAACAGUGAAAAAAAGUUGCAUUGUGUAGGGCAGAAAAAAGGAAGCCUUCCAAAAAGGGUACUGCAAGGAUAGCAGUCUUUCUGAUACACGCCUCCUUCUGCAUUACUCCCAUUAUAGCCUUGCGUCUGAAAGUAUUUCUUAAGCUUCAAGGCAGCUAAGCAACUCCUUGCAGCUUGCAGUGCUGUGGUCUGCUGGAAUUGUGUAAUAAGGAAGGUUGAUGCCUGCAGUAUUGGUUUCAGUUUUGCAAUUAUUUUUAUCAAGGUGCAAUAAAAUGAUGCAGAUGCAACACAAUGCUGCAGUGUUGGCACAGAGCAGGGAUGAGAAUUUCCAACUCGAGAAUGUAGCUGCAGGAUUGUUUCUCUGGCAACUUGUACAAGAGCUAGCAAAAAUCAGUCACUGUGCUGCAGAGAGUCCGCAAGAUUUCUCAAAUGUAACAGAAGUCUGUAACAGAACGUACAGACGUGUAACAGAAGUGGAAAUAUUAAAGGAAAUAACUCUCCUGGAAGAAGUGAACUGAUCCCUAUCAGUUCAAGCUCUAAGAAAAGGGAUCAUCAGCAGGCUUACCUACUAUUUUUCUCCAUAUUUCCAAGAACAAGAAAUAUAGGCAACAGCCUCACUUUGGACAAUAAAAAGACCCUGAAUUAAGGAUCAAAUGCUUUCCCAUUAACACAAAUAAAGCCAAUUACGAAAUCAUAUUAUAGAAGUCUCAGUAUGCGUAGGUUGAGGCAACUGAACAUCGGGAGAUAUCCAGUUAUUACUAAUCUGUCACUGUCUGACAAUCAAAGCCACUAGGUCAACAGGUACACACUCCACAGUGACUAAUGACCGCAGUUUGACAAGCCACUUUCCACCAGUCUUGGUCAACUGGGGAGGUCCCAGAUGACUGGAGACUUGUAAACAUGACAUCCAUCUGUAAGCAGGGUCAGAAGGAGGACCCAGGGAUCCACAGGCCUGUCAGCCUGUCCUUGGUACUGGGGAAGGUUACAGAGAAGAUCAUCUUUAGUGUGAUCACAAAGCAUGUGCAGGACAACCAGGUGAUCAGGCCUAUUCAGCAUGGGUUCAUCAAAGACAAGUCAUGCUUGACCAACCUGACCACCUUCAACAACCAGGUGAUCUGCCUGGUGGAUGAGGGAAAGGCUGUGGAUGUAGUCUACUCAGACUUUAGCAAAGCCUUUGACGCUGUCUCCCACAGCAUUAUCCUGAAGAAGCUGCAGCCCAUGGCUUGGACAUAUAUGGUAUACUCUUCACCAGGUAAAAACCUGGAUGACGGGGCCCAGAGAGUUGUCGUGAAUGGAGUUAAAUCCAGCUGGUAACACGUCACUAGUGGUGUUCCCCAGGGGUCAGUACUGGGGCCAUCCCUGUUUAAAAUCUUUACUGAUUGUGUGGAUGAGAGGAUUGAGUGCACCGUCAGUAAGUUUGCAGAUGACAUCAAGCUGGAAAUGCUGAAGGGUAGGUAGGCCCUACAGAGGGAUCUGAGUAGGCUGGACUGCUGGUCUGAGACCAAUUAUAUGAUGUUCAACAUGAUCAAGUGCCAGGUCCUGCACUUUGGUCACAGCAGUCCUCAGCAAUGCUACAGGCUUAGGGCAGAAUGGCUAGAAAGCUGUAUGGUAGAAAAGGAGGUGCUAGCCAACAGACAGCUGAACAUGAGCCAGCAGUGUGCGCAGGUGGCCAAGAAGGCCACUCUUUCUGAUACAAGCCAGAUCCCUGCUGUAGUCAGUAUGACUAGGAAAGAGAUUGUCCCCUCUGUUCUCAGCCCUGGUAAAACAGCACCUUGAGUACUGUAUGCACUGAGGCCACAGAGCAUGUCCAAAGAAUGGUAAUGAAAAAGGGUCUGGAACACAAGUCUUAUGAGGAGCUGCUGAGGGAACCGGGAUUGUUCAGCCUGGAGGAGGCUCAAGAAAGACCAUACUGCUCUCUACAGCUACCUGAAAGGAAGUUGUAGCAAUGUGGGAGUCAGUCUCUUCCCCCAGGUAACUAGGAACAGAAUGAGAGGUAAUAGCCUCAAGUUGCACAUGUGGUUAUCGGGUUGGGUUAUUAGGAAAAAUUUAUUCUCUGAAACAGAGUGGUCCAGUAUUGCAACAUGCUGCUCAGGGAAGCGGUGGAGUCACCGUCACUUGAGGUGUUCAAGAAAUGCACAGAUGUAGCACUUAGGGAUAUGGUACAGUUUGCUUGGUGGUUUGAUUAGAUGAUCCUAGAAGUUUUCCCACAUGUAUAACUCUACAAUUCUAGCAGGUAACUUGCAUGUGCUUGAAAACUUGUGGUAUGUCCGUUAGGAAGACACACGAGGCUGCGCAUUUCCAAGAAUAUUUCAAGAACUCCUCCCAUUAUACAAUGUGGAUUUGUUAUUCAAAUUUUAAUCAUCUUGAUGUCUUGGAGAGAUGUUUUCAACACCAUAGGUUGAGUUGAGUACUCAUCUAAUUUUCACUCAGCCCACAAAAAGAGUUCAAUUCCCUCCAUUCCUCCAAUUUCUGAUUUACGUGUGGCAUUUUUUUUUCUAAGUAUUGCAAACUUUAACUUGAAAACCUUAAAAAAACAUUUCCUACAGAACUCCACCCUCCAUUUCUUAUUUUCAUUUCACUCCUUCAAACAAGACACAGGGAAUGUGAUUAAAUGCUUAGUCAGAAUAGUUCCUUAUUAUAUUGUCUUUAACAGUUAAGAGAAAGCUGAAUCUGGUUCAAAGGCAUACAGAAUUAAUGGCCAUAAACAUUUUAAGCUUUAAAAUUGUGAAUACUUCCAUUCUCUGCUUUAGAAAGGAAUAAAGUUGCUCAAGAAAUCUUCACUGAGGUCAUUACUAUGACUAUGUAGUCUCAGAAAAUUUUAGAAAAUUUUCUAACAGCAUUUAGAAUAAAACCUAAAAACCUUUUACUGUCUGCAACCCCAGUAUUCUACUGUUACAGCACUAUUCUAUAAUAGCAGUAAUUUUCAAACUGGAACUCACAGCAGCCUUUUACCUUGUCAAAAUUUUUUGAAAGCCUAAAUAUUAACUUAAAAAUGUAACAUUCAGCAGUACAUACAAAAUACAACACAAAAGGCCAGAAGAUUAAUAAAAACAGCAUUCAACUGAUUUGGAAGAAUCUUUUUGAGAGUUCAGGGAAAGGAGAUUGACAAAAUGGCAUUUAAAAUGAUUCAGACAAGCUCUCUCCCGCAGAUGAAAAGUAGCAGCUUUCACACUACCACAGGAAAUAAUGGUCACAAGAACUUUUCAUGUUUUCUUAAGAUCCAUCUUACACAUGCCAAGGGAAAAAAAAAAAAAAGUAAGAAAAUGAGAAAAAAAAAGAGAAAAACUACAGCAAAUCAUGUGUUUCUGCUAAGCCCUGUAAAAUUCAGUCAUCUAUUCUUUCAAGAUAGACUGCGCUGUAAAACUUCGGGGUUGAAGAGAAAGGAGAAGGGGGCUACUUUUAUUUGGUUAGAGGACUUAGAAAAAAGCUCUUUCUUCUGAACAUCAUCAUCAAGUAGCACAAAUCACAAGUUAAACUGCCAUAUUCUACAUAAGGGUUUGAAACACAUAUACAAGAACACAGAUCUUUUUUUUUUUUCUGGGACCUUUUUAAAACAUACUUCACUCUGAAUCUUAUAUCAGUCAGUUAAGCCUUACUCUUAUCCAACUCCAUAAGCUCCAUAACAUCACUGCGACAACUAAAGCUUAGCCCCUCUGAUUUGACAUCACUGUGCAGCAAGUAAAACUGCACUCUUGUUAGCGCCAGCCCAAAAAAUCACAACUUCAGGAAUUACCUUGCUGCAUGCCUCCAGUGUGACAAAACAACAGUAAAGGUUCUCCAGAAGAGUCCCAGUCACAAAUGACAACUUUGCAAUUAUUCCAUCAUUUACACCAAUGCAACCCCAUUAAGAUGCUAAUAGGUUUGUGCAGGUAUAACUGAUUGCCACAAGCAAAAAUGGAAACACAAUCCUCUCCUCUGCUUUGUCUCUACAGGGUUCAAAGAAGUUAAAAGCUUUAAAAGAAUUAAGUACAAAAGAGCUGAGAUCUGCUGACUAACUGGCUGCUUCUACUUAUUCAUUCCUCAAAACCCAGUAAUACACCAGAAAAAUUUUAUAUAUCACUUUAUGCAUGCAAUGAUGUUGUUUCUCAUUCUCCAAGAAUCCUCAUGAACCCUAAGUCCCAACUGAAACAGCUCACCCUUUGAAAGAUCACAAGGUUUAAUAUGAGAGCAAACUGGAAAUAUCUGAAGUAUGUGUAUUUUGCCUGUUCAAAUAAAUGCUCACAGAGAGAUAAAAGAACAGUGAGGCCGUAACAAGAACUUGGGAGCAGAGACUCUACCUUCAGAGGCAAGUGCCAACUAUCAAUUUAUUACACCUUGAGGAACUCGUGCUUUGUGUUAGGUGUUCAUGAAUUCUAAUGAGAUUAUUCUAAGAGAUGAAACAGCAGGUUUUUCUCAUUUUAGAUAAAAAUGAAUACACUGGGCAAGAAUUGGAGCCAAGUGAUUCGUUACCUCAUACACAUCAGACCUUCUCGUGACCUUGCUGUUUCAGAGUAAUAAAUCAACAACUGCAUCUUUCAGCAUAACCUCAAGGUCAAUCUACUUUGUACUGUUCUCUAGAAUCAAAGGUGGAAAUAAAUUUUAAAGAAAAAUGUUUGCUUGAGCUUCCUUGGAUAUGGUAGCUGUCACACUA
Molecule: long non-coding RNA, 7175 nt
Organism: Numida meleagris (helmeted guineafowl)
Lineage: Eukaryota; Metazoa; Chordata; Aves; Galliformes; Numididae
Exons: 3
Source: RefSeq, a predicted model, not a curated record